AGCGUACACGGUGGAUGCCUAGGCAGUCAGAGGCGAUGAAGGGCGUGCUAAUCUGCGAAAAGCGUCGGUAAGGUGAUAUGAACCGUUAUAACCGGCGAUACCCGAAUGGGGAAACCCAGUGUGUUUCGACACACUAUCAUGUCAUGAAUACAUAGUGGCAUGAGGCGAACCGGGGGAACUGAAACAUCUAAGUACCCCGAGGAAAAGAAAUCAACCGAGAUUCCCCCAGUAGCGGCGAGCGAACGGGGAGGAGCCCAGAACCUGAAUCGGCUUGUGUGUUAGUGGAAGCGUCUGGAAAGUCGCGCAGCAAAGGGUGAUAGCCCCGUACACUAAAAUGCACAGGUCGUGAGUUCGAUGAGUAGGGCGGGACACGUGACAUCCUGUCUGAAUAUGGGGGGACCAUCCUCCAAGGCUAAAUACUCCUGACUGACCGAUAGUGAACCAGUACCGUGAGGGAAAGGCGAAAAGAACCCCGGCGAGGGGAGUGAAAUAGAACCUGAAACCGUGUACGUACAAGCAGUGGGAGCACCUUCGUGGUGUGACUGCGUACCUUUUGUAUAAUGGGUCAGCGACUUAUAUUUUGUAGCAAGGUUAACCGUAUAGGGGAGCCGUAGGGAAACCGAGUCUUAACUGGGCGAAUAGUUGCAAGGUAUAGACCCGAAACCCGGUGAUCUAGCCAUGGGCAGGUUGAAGGUUGGGUAACACUAACUGGAGGACCGAACCGACUAAUGUUGAAAAAUUAGCGGAUGACUUGUGGCUGGGGGUGAAAGGCCAAUCAAACCGGGAGAUAGCUGGUUCUCCCCGAAAGCUAUUUAGGUAGCGCCUCGUGAACUCAUCUUCGGGGGUAGAGCACUGUUUCGGCUAGGGGGCCAUCCCGGCUUACCAAACCGAUGCAAACUCCGAAUACCGAAGAAUGUUAUCACGGGAGACACACGGCGGGUGCUAACGUCCGUCGUGAAGAGGGAAACAACCCAGACCGCCAGCUAAGGUCCCAAAGUCAUGGUUAAGUGGGAAACGAUGUGGGAAGGCACAGACAGCCAGGAUGUUGGCUUAGAAGCAGCCAUCAUUUAAAGAAAGCGUAAUAGCUCACUGGUCGAGUCGGCCUGCGCGGAAGAUGUAACGGGGCUAAACCAUGCACCGAAGCUGCGGCAGCGACGCUUAGGCGUUGUUGGGUAGGGGAGCGUUCUGUAAGCCGUUGAAGGUGGCCUGUGAGGGUUGCUGGAGGUAUCAGAAGUGCGAAUGCUGACAUAAGUAACGAUAAAGCGGGUGAAAAGCCCGCUCGCCGGAAGACCAAGGGUUCCUGUCCAACGUUAAUCGGGGCAGGGUGAGUCGACCCCUAAGGCGAGGCUGAAAAGCGUAGUCGAUGGGAAACAGGUUAAUAUUCCUGUACUUGGUGUUACUGCGAAGGGGGGACGGAGAAGGCUAGGCUNCAUACUAACCCUGAGGCGUGAUGACGAUGCACUACGGUGCAGAAGUAGUUGAUGCCCUGCUUCCAGGAAAAGCCUCUAAGCUCCAGGUAACAUUAAAUCGUACCCCAAACCGACACAGGUGGUCAGGUAGAGAAUACCAAGGCGCUUGAGAGAACUCGGGUGAAGGAACUAGGCAAAAUGGUGCCGUAACUUCGGGAGAAGGCACGCUGGCAUGUAGGUGAAGUCCCUCGCGGAUGGAGCUGAAGCCAGUCGAAGAUACCAGCUGGCUGCAACUGUUUAAUAAAAACACAGCACUGUGCAAACACGAAAGUGGACGUAUACGGUGUGACGCCUGCCCGGUGCUGGAAGGUUAAUUGAUGGGGUCAGCCGCAAGGCGAAGCUCUUGAUCGAAGCCCCAGUAAACGGCGGCCGUAACUAUAACGGUCCUAAGGUAGCGAAAUUCCUUGUCGGGUAAGUUCCGACCUGCACGAAUGGCGUAAUGAUGGCCAGGCUGUCUCCACCCGAGACUCAGUGAAAUUGAACUCGCUGUGAAGAUGCAGUGUACCCGCGGCAAGACGGAAAGACCCCGUGAACCUUUACUAUAGCUUGACACUGAACAUUGAGCCUUGAUGUGUAGGAUAGGUGGGAGGCUUUGAAGCGUGGACGCCAGUCUGCGUGGAGCCAUCCUUGAAAUACCACCCUUUAAUGUUUGAUGUUCUAACUCGGCCCCAUAAUCUGGGGUGAGGACAGUGUCUGGUGGGUAGUUUGACUGGGGCGGUCUCCUCCCAAAGAGUAACGGAGGAGCACGAAGGUUAGCUAAUCACGGUCGGACAUCGUGAGGUUAGUGCAAAGGCAUAAGCUAGCUUGACUGCGAGAGUGACGGCUCGAGCAGGUACGAAAGUAGGUCUUAGUGAUCCGGUGGUUCUGAAUGGAAGGGCCAUCGCUCAACGGAUAAAAGGUACUCCGGGGAUAACAGGCUGAUACCGCCCAAGAGUUCAUAUCGACGGCGGUGUUUGGCACCUCGAUGUCGGCUCAUCACAUCCUGGGGCUGAAGUAGGUCCCAAGGGUAUGGCUGUUCGCCAUUUAAAGUGGUACGCGAGCUGGGUUUAGAACGUCGUGAGACAGUUCGGUCCCUAUCUGCCGUGGGCGUUGGAAGAUUGAGAGGGGUUGCUCCUAGUACGAGAGGACCGGAGUGAACGCACCACUGGUGUUCGGGUUGUCAUGCCAAUGGCAUUGCCCGGUAGCUAAGUGCGGAAAAGAUAAGCGCUGAAAGCAUCUAAGCGCGAAACUUGCCUCAAGAUGAGUCUUCCCUGGGCCUUUAAGGCCCCUGAAGGAACGUUUAAGACUAAGACGUUGA
RNAcentral lists this ribosomal RNA (2766 nucleotides) under Serratia marcescens. RNAcentral's name for it is "bacterial LSU rRNA". It matches the Rfam family "Bacterial large subunit ribosomal RNA". Lineage: Bacteria; Pseudomonadati; Pseudomonadota; Gammaproteobacteria; Enterobacterales; Yersiniaceae. The record is from RNAcentral.